GAUUAAACUGAAGAGUUUGAUCCUGGCUCAGAUUGAACGCUGGCUGCAUGCUUAACACAUGCAAGUCGAACGAGAAAGUGCCUUCGGGCGCGAGUAAAGUGGCGGACGGGUGAGUAAUGCAUAGGAAUCUGCCCAGUAGUAGGGGACAACUCGGGGAAACUCGAGCUAAUACCGUAUAUUUCCUAAGGGAGAAAGACUUCGGUCGCUAUUGGAUGAGCCUAUGUCAGAUUAGCUUGUUGGUAGGGUAAUGGCCUACCAAGGCGACGAUCUGUAGCUGGUCUGAGAGGAUGAUCAGCCACACUGGGACUGAGACACGGCCCAGACUCCUACGGGAGGCAGCAGUGGGGAAUNUUNNNCAAUGGGNGAAA
This 368-nucleotide ribosomal RNA is filed under the name Gammaproteobacteria bacterium. RNAcentral's name for it is "bacterial SSU rRNA". It matches the Rfam family "Bacterial small subunit ribosomal RNA", at positions 1 to 380 of the family's 1533-position model. The record is from RNAcentral. Lineage: Bacteria; Pseudomonadati; Pseudomonadota; Gammaproteobacteria.